Molecule: ribosomal RNA, 455 nt
Filed under: uncultured bacterium
Lineage: Bacteria
Description: bacterial SSU rRNA
Rfam family: Bacterial small subunit ribosomal RNA
Source: RNAcentral
UACGGAAGGCAGCAGUGGGGAAUAUUGCACAAUGGGCGAAAGCCUGAUGCAGCUAUGCCGCGUGUAUGAAGAAGGCCUUAGGGUUGUAAAGUACUUUCAUCGGGGAGGAAAAACAAAACUAAUAAUUUUAUUUCUUGACGUUACCCGAAAAAGAAGCACCGGCUAACUCCGUGCCAGCAGCCGCGGUAAUACGGAGGGUGCUAGCGUUAAUCAGAAUUACUGGGCGUAAAGAGCACGUAGGUGGUUUUUUUAAGUCAGAUGUGAAAUCCCUGGGCUUAACCUAGGAACUGCAUUUUGAAACUGAAAUACUAGAGUAUCGUAGAGGGAGGUAGAAUUCUAGGUGUAGCGGUGAAAUGCGUAGAUAUCUGGAAGAAUACCUGUGGCGAAAGCGGCCUCCUAAACGAAUACUGACACUGAGGUGCGAAAGCGUGGGGAGCAAACAGGGAUUAGAUACC